UACGUAGGGCGCAAGCGUUGUCCGGAUUUAUUGGGCGUAAAGAGUAUCGUAGGCGGUUUGUUAAGUAUUGGGUUAAAGCCUGGAGCUCAACUCCAGAGAUGCUCGAUAAACUAACAGACUAGUGGUUGUUCGGGGUUACUAGAAUUCUUGGUGGAGGAGUGAAAUCCAUUGAUAUCAAGAAGAAUACCAAAAGCGAAGGCAGGUAACUAGGACAUACCAGACGCUGAUGAACGAAAGCUAGGGGAGCGAA
This 250-nucleotide ribosomal RNA is filed under the name uncultured bacterium. Its description in RNAcentral is "partial 16S ribosomal RNA". It matches the Rfam family "Bacterial small subunit ribosomal RNA", at positions 524 to 772 of the family's 1533-position model. The record is from RNAcentral.